AAAAAAAAAAGUCCAGGACUUUGUAAUUAUAAGGGAAGACUUGAUUCUUAAUGAUAACAGGAGCAUUCCCAGGCUGAACCAACUUAUGUUUGGAAAUCACAAGGCCAGAGUGAAUGUGAAAAACAAAGAUUGACUGAACAUCCCUAAGGGCUCUGGAGACACAAAGGAAAGGCGGUCAGAGUCCCUGCUGUCCUCCCAGGCAGGGAGGUGGGGAGCGACACACGACAACUGUCUCUCCAGGAGGAUCAGAGAGCACCCUGGAGUCCUGCAGAGAUGCCCUGGACCAUGUCAGGAGGUAAGCCCUGGGCCUGGCCAUGAAAACCAGGAGAAUGCAAAGCAUGUAACAUCUCACUUAGAGCUGACGCAGAAGGGAAGUGACUCUGAAAUAUAGACCCUCUUGGCCUCUGGGGGAGAUUUAUGUGGCGAGGAUCACGCUCCUCAGAGAAAGACUGCAGCUCUACAUCAGAUCAUCAAGCGUUAGAUUCCGGAGGUUGGGGACCCCUGCCUUAUGCAAUUGCUCUUGCAGCUGCACCGGAAGAAGCUCAGAGAGAACAGGAAGUGACUCUGAGGGGCCCAGUGACAUCUAUCUCAGCCUGAAGGACGUGAGGAGGCUGAGCAGAGCACUUGGACCUGGGCCCCCUGAAGGGGACAGUGGCCAUCUCAGCAAUGACCAGAGGGGAUCUCUGGCCCCACAGAAAGGCCUCCAAGAACUUUUCCUGGAAGGUCCAUGACUGAGGCUGAAUUUCCUUCCAACAUAAAAGUGAUGGGAGUUCAGAGUUGUAUUUAAGUUGACUGAACAAAAGAAAGACUUUGCCUUGUGUGUGAUGUGCCUGGCUUCCUUAGUCUGUAGCCUGAGAUUCAACCUGCUAUGAGUGUCUACUAUGUGCUAGAAAAUAUAAUAGCAUUAUCAAACAUUUUAUCAUUUAAAC
Molecule: long non-coding RNA, 929 nt
Organism: Bos taurus (domestic cattle)
Lineage: Eukaryota; Metazoa; Chordata; Mammalia; Artiodactyla; Bovidae
Source: Ensembl